This 64-nucleotide transfer RNA is filed under the name Neotermes koshunensis. Its description in RNAcentral is "tRNA-Phe". Lineage: Eukaryota; Metazoa; Arthropoda; Insecta; Blattodea; Kalotermitidae. The record is from RNAcentral.
ACUUGGAUAGCUUAUAUAGAGUAUGACACUGAAGAUGUCAUUGAGGUUUUUUGACCUCCAAGUA